This 374-nucleotide ribosomal RNA is filed under the name Laonice sp. 349 PB. RNAcentral describes it as "partial 16S ribosomal RNA". It matches the Rfam family "Bacterial large subunit ribosomal RNA", at positions 2004 to 2597 of the family's 2925-position model. The record is from RNAcentral. Lineage: Eukaryota; Metazoa; Annelida; Polychaeta; Spionida; Spionidae.
ACGCAAGUGCCCCUGUCUCAUUAGUAUUAAUAAAAAUUACCAAUCAGGUGAAGAGGCCUGAAUAAAAUAAAAAGACAAAAAGACCCUAUGGAGCUUUAUUUAAAUCCCUAAUCACACCAGCCCUACACCACCCCACCUUAGGCAAAUAAAUUUAGUUGGGGCGACUAAGGAAAACCAUAAAUCUUCCUCCCUAAAAAGAAAAUAAAUCCCGAUUGAUCCGUUAUACGAAUAUAGACACAGCUACCCUAGGGAUAACAGGCUAAUUCUUCUCGAGAGCCCAAAUUGACAGAAGAGGUUGGCACCUCGAUGUUGGCUUAGGGUUUCUAUAAGAUGCAGAAGUCUUAUAAGUGGGUUUGUUCAACCCUUAAAACCCU